GCUUGUGGCCAUACCACCCCGAACAUGCUUGUUCAGGGUCGGGCCUGGUUAGUACUGGGAUGGGAGACCGCCUGGGAAUACCGAAUGCCUUAAGCU
Molecule: ribosomal RNA, 96 nt
Filed under: Salmo salar (Atlantic salmon)
Lineage: Eukaryota; Metazoa; Chordata; Actinopteri; Salmoniformes; Salmonidae
Source: RNAcentral